GAAGAACUGGGGGCUUGCAUAUGGGAUGAGAUGCCCCCUUAUUGGUUUAGGAUGAGCUGUACUCCUAUGACCAACCAUAUUGGUUCCUGUAAUUUAUCUCUCUCUUCCUCCCAGCUCCACAAGGUCUUUCGUCUUUAACAAAUUUCUUCCUGCUAAAUAAGGUGAGAGAUAGAAAGGAAGAGGAUGUUGGUAAAUUACUCUUGCCACCACACCCAACAGGAGUGAAUUUGGGGUCCAAGUCACUGCAGCAGGGAGGCUGCUCUUGGCUGGCAGGGUCUGAAAAAGCAUCCCAGGAGGUGUUUUCCUUUGUCUUUCAGCAAAUAUGAUCAUUCAGGUGUUCUUGGGAAGGAGUCACAGGAGUUUUACAUACGAAGCAUAUACAGGACAGCUGAAAUAUCUCCUUCUGCCUUCGAUCUGCUUUGAGGUUAUUUGCUUUAAGCAUAGAAGAGAAUCCAGCCUUUCGCAGAUGUGGAGCUGAAAAAGGGAGGACAUCUCAGACCGCUGGAAGGGGCUUGGGGAUGACACGUUGAGAAUUGCUGCUUUAAUGCAUAGUUCUGGAAGUUACAUAAUACCUCAAAGCCGCAAUAACUAAGCUUUUCUCAAAACAUUUAAUUCAGCCUCACAUUGCAGAACUUUGUUACAGAGAUUUGGGGAAUCCGCCCACCCACCCAUCUCCUUCUCUAAGAGCCGAACCCCACCCACACCCACUGUGGGGAGUGUUGGGAGGACGCUGGCAGAAAUCCUUCUAAGAUAUGACCUGCCUUCCACCCUGGGUGUAAGUUUCUGCACCCAGAGAGGCUCCCAACAAUGGGGAUCAGCCAGCUUCUCUCUUCAGGGACUUUGGCACUGGGGAAUGUGGACUAAAGGAGUUUGAACUUAGAGAUCGAGGAUGCUGACGUGGGGCAACCUCCUUAGCUGUGGAACCCUUGACUCUUCAUGGCUUCUAUGUCCUGCUUCGAAUCUCUCAAGAGAGGAAUCUGCAGCACAGAGCAGCAACGUCAAUUUUCCACGGCUUCCCAGCUGGCAAGUCCCAGAGGCAGAAGGUGUGCUGGUGACAUCCCUACGGCUCCAGGUGUACCUGCCACAUGGUGCUGCCAGGGCUUCCUGCUCCUCCCUAAGCCGUCCUAUCAUUUCCAGUGGGGGAAAUUGCAUUCUUAGAAGCUGGCACAAGAAUUUCUCUUAGGGAGAGAACUCUCUUUAUUCAAGAAGAGGAGGUGGAGAGAGAGGCCUGGGAAAGGGAACCCUGAGGGGACAGGAGCCAGGGCAGCCAGGCAGCUUGCUUCCUGUGCCUUAGAAACCAAUAAAAGGGGCCCGUAGGGCUCCAGGAAGUGAGUGGGAAGGGGGUGGAGAAGGAGGAAGGUGAGAAGCAGCUUGACAUGGCCAGUGGAAAAUUCCCCAGUGGCAGGGAUGCUUUCUUUUACUUAAUAUAAACUUUAUUGAAGAGUAACAUACAUGUAGAAAAGUGACAGAUCGGAAGCGUUUAGCCUAGUGAUUUUCACAAAGUUAAUAUACCCAUGGAGCCGGCACCUGCAUCAAGAAACAGAACAUUCUGAGCGUGCCAGAGCCCCCACUCAUGUCUCCUUCCUGGUGUUAGCCUCCCUUCCUGGUUUCUAGUGCCAAAAAUACAUUUUGCCUGGUUUUAUGUAAAUGGAAAUAUGCAAAAAUCUACUCUUUCAGGUCUCAAUUCUCUGACUCAACAUGAUAGUUGUAAGUCCAGUCUGCGUUCUUGCCUGUAGUUGUAUGUGACUCCUUUUCAUUGCUGUAUGGUAUUCCAUUAUAUAAAUAUACCACAAUCUAUUUAUGCUUUCUAUGUGGAUGGACUUCUGUAGAUGGACAUUUGGGCAUUUUCCAUUUGGGGCUAUAGUUGGUUCUAGGGCCGUAUGCUCAUCCUUUUACACGUCUUGGUGAACAUUCAUAGUGUUUUUGUGGAAUGGAAGUGCUGGGUUAUAGGAUAUGCAUGCGUUCAACUCUACUAGGCCCUCCUAAACAGUUUUCCAAAGUGUGAGUACCUAUAUACAAUCUAUAGUAGGUUAUUUUUAAGACUAAGGAAUGUUUAAUCUCUGUUUGAAUGUGUGUUGCUGUGAUAUAAACUUCCAUCCCCUCCUAAACUGUUCAGUAAUAUCUAGCACAUCUCAGAGAUCACUUAUAUGAGUAGAGGGUUUUUUUUUGACAAAAACCAAAGAAUGAGCUGAGGUUGAUGGCAGGAUAAGCUGGUGUGAAACAGAAAAUAGCAUGUGGCAGAUGGUGAAGGGCCCACGAGCUGAACUAACUAUGAGCAGGAGCCCAGGGCCCCAGGUGACUGAGAAUGACAGCCUCCCCUAGGAAUCUCAGAGAUCACCUUGGGCACGC
RNAcentral lists this long non-coding RNA (2349 nucleotides) under Equus caballus (horse). Its description in RNAcentral is "lncRNA (ENSECAG00000058319.1)". The record is from RNAcentral. Lineage: Eukaryota; Metazoa; Chordata; Mammalia; Perissodactyla; Equidae.